RNAcentral lists this non-coding RNA (22 nucleotides) under Arabidopsis thaliana (thale cress). Lineage: Eukaryota; Viridiplantae; Streptophyta; Magnoliopsida; Brassicales; Brassicaceae. The record is from RNAcentral.
ACGAUGGUGAUUUAAGCAGCAA